UGUUCUAGCUAGAUCUUGUUUGUUUCUGCACUAACUUAAUCAGCAUCAUCCUAAGCACAGAUGAGUUCUUAGGAUUUCAUUCAUCCAAAGACUGGGGAGGCUGGCCUGACCUUUCUUGGUUUAUAGAACACAAUGAGAUCACAGUCUAUUGCUUCAGGGGAAAAAUAGCAAAAGAUUACUUUUAUGAUGGAGACUUAAUAGAUUUGACAUGGCCAGAGGGCAUACCAGUAAUGGAAGAUGUGACUCUGCAAUAGGAACAAGUUGCUGGAAGUCCAUGGAGAAGAUUUUGGAAAGAAACCUGAAUUCCUUAAUUCACACCCUAGAGAAAUCCCAAACCUCAAAGUUUGAACACCUUAUUUGUUAAAAGCACAGAGAAACAACAAACCUCAGCAGGGAGGAAGGAACAAGUUGUGAAACUUUAACAAGAUCUCCAAGGAAGCUUAGACAAAAAGCUGAAGAAUAUGCUCUGCUGAGCUGCAUGACUCAUCUUGCAAUGUGUGGUGCCCAGAGCUGCGACACUGCUGGGUGGGAGGGCCACAGACGGCACAUCAAACGCGUCUCUGCUACGCAACGCGAGCAGAGGUUGUUGACUAAUGGUGACUUCAAAAAGAAAACCUCUUUUGCACACUGCUUGUUGACAGCUGUUAUUAUGACAUUUAAUCUAUAUUCAUUAUUCGGGGAAGCAGCUCAGCCAGGAUCCAGCAGUCAGUCUGCUAAACCCACUUAGUAGAUUACUUCGAGCUUUAGUUCCCAAAAUUCAAGUUCUUUCAUAUUUUGUUGCGUGAGAGCAGAGCAAAAAUCUUGAUCAAUGGGUGUCAGCAAAAAUGCCUCAAUCUGUUAAGAAAGGAAGGCUGGGAAAUAAAGUCGGGGGCAUAAUACAUGGCAGCAAUCCUUAUUAGAGCAGUCAUUGCUGAAGGCUGAAAAGGCAUUGCGUAGGAAUCCUCAUUAAGUGGACUAAUUUUGAACAGUGUCAAAUUAGGUUGAGUUUAAUUUUUUGCUAUCUCAGGUGUCAUACAGUAUUAUCUUCACUUGAGUUAACUUCUCUGCUUCAGUCCUACUGCCAUCACUGCUUUGAUGUGCUGUUUCCAGCCAUCAGUAUGAUCUGAAUAAUACCAAUGCUUCCUGCUGCCUCUGGCUGGCCCAAGUCCAGUUUUGUUUUCCCAUUCAGAGAUGUUCCGUUUGAU
Passer domesticus (house sparrow) is the source of this 1184-nucleotide long non-coding RNA. RefSeq lists it as uncharacterized. Lineage: Eukaryota; Metazoa; Chordata; Aves; Passeriformes; Passeridae. The transcript has 3 exons. The record is from RefSeq and is a predicted model, not a curated record.